This 460-nucleotide ribosomal RNA is filed under the name uncultured bacterium. Its description in RNAcentral is "partial 16S ribosomal RNA". It matches the Rfam family "Bacterial small subunit ribosomal RNA", at positions 338 to 795 of the family's 1533-position model. The record is from RNAcentral.
CCUACGGGUGGCAGCAGUGAGGAAUAUUGGUCAAUGGGCGCGAGCCUGAACCAGCCAAGCAGCGUGAAGGAUGACUGCCCUACGGGUUGUAAACUUCUUUUUUACAAGAAUAAAGUGAGGCACGUGUACCUUUCUGUAUGUACUUUAUGCAUAAGGAUCGGCUCACUCCGUGCCAGCAGCCGCGGUAUUACGGAGGAUCCGAGCGUUAUCCGGAUUUAUUGGGUGUAAAGGGUGCGUAGAUGGGUUGAUAAGUCAGUUGUGAAAGUUUGCGGCUCAACUGUAGAAUUGCAAUUGAUACUGGCAGUCUUGAGUGCAGUUGAGGUAGGCGGAAUGCGUGGUGUAGCGGUGAAAUGCUUAGAUAUCACGAAGAACACCGAUUGCGAAGGCAGCUUACUAAACUGCCACUGACAUUGAGGCACGAAAGUGUGGGGAGCAAACAGGAUUAGAUACCCUGGUAGUC